RNAcentral lists this transfer RNA (75 nucleotides) under Bacteroidota bacterium. RNAcentral's name for it is "tRNA-Pro". It matches the Rfam family "tRNA". Rfam says of the family: Transfer RNA (tRNA) molecules are approximately 80 nucleotides in length. Their secondary structure includes four short double-helical elements and three loops (D, anti-codon, and T loops). The record is from RNAcentral. Lineage: Bacteria; Pseudomonadati; Bacteroidota. RNAcentral also lists the same sequence under 5 other names.
CGGGGCGUAGCGCAGUCCGGUUAGCGCACCUGGUUUGGGACCAGGGGGUCGCAGGUUCGAAUCCUGCCGCCCCGA